RNAcentral lists this ribosomal RNA (195 nucleotides) under Glomeraceae sp. Its description in RNAcentral is "partial small subunit ribosomal RNA". It matches the Rfam family "Eukaryotic small subunit ribosomal RNA", at positions 567 to 765 of the family's 1831-position model. The record is from RNAcentral. Lineage: Eukaryota; Fungi; Glomeromycota; Glomeromycetes; Glomerales; Glomeraceae.
CCAGCAGCCGCGGUAAUUCCAGCUCCAAUAGCGUAUAUUAAAGUUGUUGCAGUUAAAAAGCUCGUAGUUGAAUUUCGGGAUCAAUAUGUUGGUCGUGCCUUGGUACGCACUGGCAUCUUUGGUUUCUACCUUCUGAUGAACCAUGAUGGCAUUAAUUUGGGGUCGUGGGGAAUCAGGACUGUUACUUUGAAAAAA